AUAGCAGGAGAAAUAUCGGAGCGAGCAGCAUCGAUUAAAAAUAGGUAAAAAUCGUUCGGACGAGGCUCGGCUAGCUGAAAUGCGAUUGUCGAAUCGGACUCGACGUAGGACCGCAAAGGGUUAAAUCGCGGGGCAUUGACUCGUCCCGAAGAUGAAAGAUAAGGUGGCCAGGACGGUGACAAUCGGCUCGCAUAGAUUCCCAUAGAUUAUCGUAGAACGUAUGCGAGCCUUGGGUGCGUGGUCGCACACGGUAUCACCGCGGACACUCACCCGAAAUCAUCGUCCAUCGAUUUGAAGAAAUACUUGUAAUUCGGCCGAUUCAAGACAUUUUUGAAGUCUGCCAGAGUGACCCUUUCCGGUGAUAUGGUGAGCUUGACCAGGUACGGGGUCUCCUCGUCGUCGAUGUGAUAGAUGAUCUUCGUCUCUUCCAUCGUCUCGGAAUCCUGUUAUUACGCGUGCAUUUGCGAACCGGGGGGGAAAAAAAACUGAUCGCACCGAAGGCCCCACUAACUAUGAAACAAUUCUCUUGAACCAAUAUGGCGCGUCACAGUUCGAGCCAAAGCCCUCGCGCGUACGACGACCGUUCGUUCAUGUAGCCCGUUUCUAGAGCUUACGCGAGUCCGGCCGCGUGCAACAUUAUCGAGAACCCGUGCAGCCAGUUACGAGGAAGCCGUUGACAUUAUUCGAGACAGUUCCACGCGAGUUGUACACGGUGCAACCGACGAGCUGAAUUAAACGUCAACAUUCUCGCCGACAUUACACACACUCGCGGCGGAUCGCCCGAUGUACUCGACGGUACGCUCGAGAAUUCGAAGCGAACGGAGAUAGAAAGACGAGCCACGGAAUGAUUUUUACACCCCGCCAGCCAUUCGGCGGAUCUUUCGACAGAUGGCGUCGAAGCACCGCUCUUCAAUAUGGCGACCGGUUCGAAAACUUACCUACGGCCACGAACCUAAUGCAGAUUGAAAUCACCGACGUCGCACAAGUGUGAUAUUUCAACGACCUACGAAGAUUUAUGUAAUUCCGAAAUUGAAUGAAACUAACAAAUGUCCAAGUUAUCCCCUAAUUUGAAAGCAGUAUCUCAGUGACCCGGAGUAAUGCCUUCGGAUAAGAUAAAUGUGUCUGAAGUGAACUCUCAGUAAAAAACACUGUUGCGUCGAAAAGUUGCAGGCAGUGCAUUUCCGGUUUAUUUUUCUUCAUUCUUUCGGCAUUACGGUUCCGAAUUAUCGACUUUAUGGAAUGUGCACAGAUUUAACUUAGAUCUGUGGAAAGUGCUCUAGUACGAUAACGGACUCUAUUUAGAUGUAACGGUCAGCUAGUGAAUUACGCUAGACUGCAACAAGGAAAAUGCGUACUCGAGGAUGUAUGUUAGGGUUAGAAUAUAAGAAACGAUUAGAAUGAUGGCCUAUCAAGUAAAUUGUUUGCAAUGUAUGUACAUUCUUUGAACUUUGUUUGAAACUCAUAUUUCUUGUAUGGUGGCAGAGUAAAGCGAAUACGAAAACCGCGCCAAUAGCACCCCCUAUGACAGCUGCGCAGUGGUUUGUUGCGCAGUAGUCUCGAAAAGACCGUUAUGCUGGCGCCACUGUCUCCGUAAUCCGAACUUCGUAGUUGAAAAAUCGCGCUUCUCCAGAACUUCAAGAUUUGUUAGAUAUUGGUUUGUUAAAGUAAUUCUGUAUCGUUUAAACAUAGUAGAAAGUGUAAUUAAUACGAGUAGAUCCUAGCGUGUCAUUUAUUUUCGCGAGACUCCUGUUAAUUCCAGAGAAAAGUGAGUUCGAAAUUUUGCUCCCUACGACUUCAACUUCCGCCAUGCUUCGUUCGAUUUUAGAAAUAAUGGAACUCCUUCCGUGCAUUACUAACAAUAUUACGAAGGAUCUUUCGCAGCCAACCUCAACAUAGCGAGACUCGGACAAUCGGUGUUACCUUCGAUUUUGAAAAUCUUACCAACCGAAGAUCACAUCGAGCUGAUAGUUGCAAACUCGUGAGCAUAUUAUUAUACAAUUCAAAUUGAAAUACGUUUGCUUUAGGAAUAGGAAUUUGUGGGGGGCAUUAAGUAUAUUUCAGAAAGAAUAUUUGAAGUUUCAGAAGAACCAAAUAUAUGUACAAUUGUUUUAUAGCGACAUCUACAAUUUAUCCAUAGUUUAAGAAAGCUACUUUUCAGUAAUGUAGUCAAAUCUACUCAAAGGGGAGCAAAGAUCGAUCGACCAGAGAAAUAAAUAAAUAAAUUUUAUUUUCGUGAAUGUGGCAAAAAUACAUAUUAUACAAUCUCGUCAA
This is a long non-coding RNA of Megalopta genalis, 2271 nucleotides long. RefSeq lists it as uncharacterized. The record is from RefSeq and is a predicted model, not a curated record. NCBI's taxonomy places the organism in Eukaryota, Metazoa, Arthropoda, Insecta, Hymenoptera, Halictidae.